Tarenaya hassleriana is the source of this 217-nucleotide long non-coding RNA. RefSeq lists it as uncharacterized. The record is from RefSeq and is a predicted model, not a curated record. Lineage: Eukaryota; Viridiplantae; Streptophyta; Magnoliopsida; Brassicales; Cleomaceae. The transcript has 2 exons.
GCCCUUAUUUUUAUAAAGAAACGCUUUCUCCUUUGUUUCAUCGUUUUGCCGCCGCCGCUGCUUCAUCAUUCUCGCAGGCUUCUCCGCUUCAGGCUCGGACUAUACAGGUAAGUCGGAGCUGAAACAUGGGUCGUGUUCGUACCAAGACUGUGAAGAAAUCUUCUCGUCAGGUCAUCGAGAAGUAUUACUCGAGAAUGACCCUUGAUUUCCACACCAA